RNAcentral lists this long non-coding RNA (719 nucleotides) under Physcomitrium patens. Its description in RNAcentral is "long non-coding RNA (PPAT_LNC011762)". The record is from RNAcentral. Lineage: Eukaryota; Viridiplantae; Streptophyta; Bryopsida; Funariales; Funariaceae.
GUUAUGUGUAUUGAUAGUAGAAUUAUUUUUCUAUAUAUGUGGAAAUUUUGAGAUCAAUUGAAUGGUACAAAAAAAAGAUGUUAGCUUUGAAAGAUUAGCAUCAAGGUUGGAGAAAGAGGCCAGCCAACAUCCAAGAAGAUUUUAGGAUUUUUCUUUUAUUUGUUAAAUGGGAUUGUCUUCAAAUUUGUUGUAGUUGUUUGUAAGUAAGAUAUUGAGAGGCAUAUAAAAUUUUAAACAAUAUCAAUGAUUUAAACAAAAGAUAUUGAGGUUCUAAACUACCUUAGGAUUUGGUUUAGGGUUUGGGAUUUGGUUAGGGUUUGAUUUAGGAUUUAGGAUUUAGUUUAGGAUUUAGGGUUUAUUUAGGCUUUUAUUGAAGUCCAUCAGGAUUCAAUUAGGAUUAAAUUAGAACUUGGUUGAGAUUUAUUUAAGACAUAUUGUGAUUAUUUUAAUAUUUUUUAGGACUUCUUAAGGAUUUUUUUAAGGUUUAUUGUGGAUUAUCUUUCAACUCCUUUAAGAUUUCUUAUUGUUUCUUUUAUAAUUUCUUUAAGGUUUCUUUUGAAUUUGUUUAAAGCAUGUUUAACAUUGUUAAGAUUUAAUUAGAGAUAAUUUAAUAUUUUAUUAGAAUUAGAAUUUUUUAUUGUAAUUUCUAUUCUACCUUCCAUAGCCAGGUGUUUGGUGUACUCUCAAGCAACACUUCACAUAAUACAACAACAUGGCUA